Molecule: transfer RNA, 68 nt
Filed under: Ctenochauliodes punctulatus
Lineage: Eukaryota; Metazoa; Arthropoda; Insecta; Megaloptera; Corydalidae
Description: tRNA-Asp
Rfam family: tRNA
About the family: Transfer RNA (tRNA) molecules are approximately 80 nucleotides in length.
Source: RNAcentral
AAAGAAUUAGUUAAUAUAUAACAUUAGUAUGUCAAACUAAAAUUAUUAGUUUAAUCUGAUAUUCUUUA